UGAGGAAUAUUGGUCAAUGGGCGAGAGCCUGAACCAGCCAAGUCGCGUGAAGGAAGACUGCCUUAUGGGUUGUAAACUUCUUUUAUACAGGAAUAAAAAGGCUUACGUGUAGGCCAUUGCAAGUACUGUAUGAAUAAGCAUCGGCUAACUCCGUGCCAGCAGCCGCGGUAAUACGGAGGAUGCGAGCGUUAUCCGGAUUUAUUGGGUUUAAAGGGUGCGCAGGCGGGCUUUUAAGUCAGCGGUGAAAUCUGGACGCUUAACGUCCAAACUGCCGUUGAAACUGGGAGUCUUGAGUAUGGAUGAAGUAGGCGGAAUUCGUUGUGUAGCGGCGACAUGCAUAGAUAUAACGAGGAACUCCGAUUGCGUAGGCAGCUUACUAAGCCAUAACUGACGCUCAUGCACGAAAGCGUGGGGAUCAAACAGGAUUAGAUACCCUGGUAGUCCACGCCGUAAAACGAUGAUUACUAGUUGUAUGCGAUAUGAUAGUAUGUGACUAAGCGAAAAGCGAUAAGUAAUCCACCUGGGGAGUACGCCGGCAACGGUGAAACUCAAAGGAAUUGACGGGGUCAUAGCUG
RNAcentral lists this ribosomal RNA (575 nucleotides) under uncultured bacterium. RNAcentral describes it as "partial 16S ribosomal RNA". It matches the Rfam family "Bacterial small subunit ribosomal RNA", at positions 355 to 932 of the family's 1533-position model. The record is from RNAcentral.